UAGGGAAUAUUGGUCAAUGGGCGCAAGCCUGAACCAGCCAUGCCGCGUGCAGGAUGAAGGCCCUCUGGGUUGUAAACUGCUUUUAUAUGGGAAUAAAAAGCCCUUGCGAGGGUUAUUGAAGGUACCAUAAGAAUAAGCACCGGCUAACUCCGUGCCAGCAGCCGCGGUAAUACGGAGGGUGCAAGCGUUAUCCGGAUUUACUGGGUUUAAAGGGUGCGUAGGCGGCUCUUUAAGUCAGUGGUGAAAGCCUAGUGCUUAACACUAGAACUGCCAUUGAAACUAAAGAGCUUGAAUCAAGGAGAGGUAAGUAGAAUUUAUAGUGUAGCAGUGAAAUGCUUAGAUACUAUAAGGAAUACCAACAGCGAAGGCAGCUUACUGGCCUUGUAUUGACGCUGAGGCACGAAAGCGUGGGGAGCAAACAGGAUUAGAGACCCUGGUAGUCCACGCUGUAAACGAUGAUCACUCGAUGUACACACUUGAUGUGUG
Molecule: ribosomal RNA, 486 nt
Filed under: uncultured Bacteroidota bacterium
Lineage: Bacteria; Pseudomonadati; Bacteroidota
Description: bacterial SSU rRNA
Rfam family: Bacterial small subunit ribosomal RNA
Source: RNAcentral